AACAAAACAAAAAAAUUCAAACAGGAGACAGGUAGGGGAGAGAACUGGUCUUUUUUUUUCCAUCUGUUAAACAAGAAAACAAGCUCUUCCUUGUGUUUUGCAGGUAUCAGCCCCGUCCAGCUUCAGAAACACUGUGAGAGGCUGCAAACCACCUAACAGGGAUUAUUCAGGAUUGAGAACAUGCUAUCAGCCCUACUGCAGGCCUCAUGACACCAGUAUUAAUUCAAUAGAAGCUUCUGAGGAGGCCGAGAGGAAGCUGUGCUCCUCAGAGGCUCGUGAGCACAUGGUUUGCAGCCAGUAGUUUCUUCCACUUAUGUGUCGCCACCUGCCCUCCCACCUCUCCAUAUCCGACAAACAUUGGCCAGCCCAGAAAGUCACUUCUGGGAGGACAAGGAUUUUCACUGUGUACUGUUUCAGCCCCAGAAGCUGGAUGGAUCCCGGUUUGCCACUUGACGGAGCCUCAAGCUGUUGCCCCAGGUAGAGUGCCAUGGCAUCACAGCUCACAGCAACCUCCAACUCCUGGGUUCAAGCGAUUCUCCUGCCUCUGCCUCCCAAGUACCUGGGACUACAGGCACCUGCCACAACGCCCGGGUAUUGUUUGGUCAUAGCCGUCAUUGUUGUUUGGCAGGCUGGGCUGGAUUUGAACUCAUCAGCUCAGGUGUAUGUGGCUGGCGCCUUAGCCGCUUGAGCCACAGGUGCCGAGCCAGCAAUAUCUUAAAAUAAAACAACAAUGAAGUUU
Long non-coding RNA from Nycticebus coucang (slow loris), 739 nucleotides. RefSeq lists it as uncharacterized. The transcript is spliced from 4 exons. NCBI's taxonomy places the organism in Eukaryota, Metazoa, Chordata, Mammalia, Primates, Lorisidae. The record is from RefSeq and is a predicted model, not a curated record.